UACGGGGGGGGCAAGUGUUGUUCGGAAUUACUGGGCGUAAAGGGCUCGUAGGCGGCCAACUAAGUCGGAUGUGAAAUCCCCAGGCUUAACCUGGGAACUGCAUCCGAUACUGGAUGGCUUGAAUCCGGGAGAGGGAUGCAGAAUUCCAGGUGUAGCGGUGAAAUGCGUAGAUAUCUGGAGGAACACCGGUGGCGAAGGCGGCAUCCUGGACCGACACUGACGCUGAGGAGCGAAAGCCAGGGGAGCAAACGGG
This 253-nucleotide ribosomal RNA is filed under the name uncultured bacterium. RNAcentral describes it as "partial 16S ribosomal RNA". It matches the Rfam family "Bacterial small subunit ribosomal RNA", at positions 524 to 776 of the family's 1533-position model. The record is from RNAcentral.